AGUGAACGCUGGCGGUAGGCCUAACACAUGCAAGUCGAACGGCAGCACAGUAAGAGCUUGCUCUUACGGGUGGCGAGUGGCGGACGGGUGAGGAAUACAUCGGAAUCUACUUUUUCGUGGGGGAUAACGUAGGGAAACUUACGCUAAUACCGCAUACGACCUACGGGUGAAAGCAGGGGAUCUUCGGACCUUGCGCGAUUGAAUGAGCCGAUGUCGGAUUAGCUAGUUGGCGGGGUAAAGGCCCACCAAGGCGACGAUCCGUAGCUGGUCUGAGAGGAUGAUCAGCCACACUGGAACUGAGACACGGUCCAGACUCCUACGGGAGGCAGCAGUGGGGAAUAUUGGACAAUGGGCGCAAGCCUGAUCCAGCCAUACCGCGUGGGUGAAGAAGGCCUUCGGGUUGUAAAGCCCUUUUGUUGGGAAAGAAAAGCAGCAGGUUAAUACCCCGCUGUUCUGACGGUACAGAAAGAAUAAGCACCGGCUAACUUCGUG
RNAcentral lists this ribosomal RNA (492 nucleotides) under uncultured bacterium. Its description in RNAcentral is "partial 16S ribosomal RNA". It matches the Rfam family "Bacterial small subunit ribosomal RNA", at positions 29 to 507 of the family's 1533-position model. The record is from RNAcentral.